This 72-nucleotide small nucleolar RNA is filed under the name Vicugna pacos (alpaca). RNAcentral's name for it is "Small nucleolar RNA SNORD112 (ENSVPAG00000017861.1)". Lineage: Eukaryota; Metazoa; Chordata; Mammalia; Artiodactyla; Camelidae. The record is from RNAcentral.
GGUAACACCGAUGAGAGUGUAUCAUUAACCCAGCAUUACCAGUAGUCUAGUUUUGUACAUCUGAGGUCCUAA